AGAAAAUAAGAACCGAAAAAACCAGAGGAGAGAUAAAGAGAGAAAUUCGAUUAAGCGAUCGAAUGGCGAUGCAACAAUGGAGAAUCGAAUAUCUGCAAAUGUGAAGGAGAAAACGCGAAAAAAAUUCGGCGAAUGGGAGCUUCUCCUCAUGCGAUUGAUAAUCGUGUAGAAAUGAUGCGGGUGUACGUUGCAGCAGCUACCACUAGUGAUUUCAGCACUUGAUGCAUAUAUGGGAAAUGGCUUACAUAGACUGUGACUCAACUUCUCACAUACAUGGAAAGCUCCCAGCUCAAGUCAUCCUCUCAACUUAUUCCCUCUGAACAGGUAAGUCACUUUGACCCCCUUUCCCCUUGGUAACCACAAAUGAAAUUAGUCUUGUAUCAUGUUUUAGAAUUGCUUCAUCACUUUUGGUCUGGAAUUAUGCUGCUGGGUUUGGCUUCGAUAUCCAUACAUGCCUUUGUCUAAUGAAUGAAAUUCGUCUUUUCUCAAAGAUUUGUU
Long non-coding RNA from Spinacia oleracea (spinach), 498 nucleotides. RefSeq lists it as uncharacterized. The record is from RefSeq and is a predicted model, not a curated record. The transcript is spliced from 3 exons. Lineage: Eukaryota; Viridiplantae; Streptophyta; Magnoliopsida; Caryophyllales; Amaranthaceae.